AUGUGUUUCUCCACCACGUCCUGGGCGACCCACGGAAGCCGGGCCUCUCCUUUCUCCUGGAACCUGGUGCCCGGUAACCAUGGCAGCAGGAAGCCUGAGCCCUGCCUGCCACGGACAGAAAGCCCACUGGUCUUUGGUCUUUGGCAGAGGCAGGCAGGGUUAGGCCACUGUUGUUUUUUCUCAUUAGGCACAGUGACAUUCGCUCCCUCCUGGAACUGUCCUUCUCUGGCCUCUGCGAAGCAGCAAUCAUAUAAUAACGGUGCCCACGGCCGCAGGGACCCUGCCUGCUGGGAGCACAGAGCGGGUCCGACCGUGGCCCCUGCGUCCCUGUCUGAGAUGGGGGUGCGGCUCCCUGCCCGCCCCGCUCCUCCCUCCACCGAGCUUCGGGAUCGGGGUCCUCGCGGACUAAGGAGCCUCGGAAUCCCUCCCCCGCCCACCCCAUCCUUCUCCCUUCCCAGGCAGGAUUUGGCCUCUUGAAAUUCUGCACACUAAUAAAAUUGUAACUAAUUUACAUCCGAGAUGGGGAGUGCGCGGUGGCGUUGUCAUGGAGACCAUCUCCAGGGCCCUGCGGCCUCCGCCUCGCUGUGCAGCCAGAGAUCAAGAGACCGGCGCGGCGCUGCAGCUGAGGCCGGCCUCCGCCCCCGG
Molecule: long non-coding RNA, 645 nt
Filed under: Fukomys damarensis (Damara mole-rat)
Lineage: Eukaryota; Metazoa; Chordata; Mammalia; Rodentia; Bathyergidae
Description: lncRNA (ENSFDAG00000023123.1)
Source: RNAcentral